Molecule: ribosomal RNA, 264 nt
Filed under: Josephinella argentellei
Lineage: Eukaryota; Metazoa; Mollusca; Gastropoda; Stylommatophora; Helicidae
Description: Chilostoma argentellei partial 16S ribosomal RNA
Source: RNAcentral
GUACAUUGACUGUGCAAAGGUAGCAUAAUCAGUUGGCUUAUAAUUGAGGUCUGGUAUGAAUGAACCUACGGGGGCUUACUAUCUUUAUGAUAUUAAGAUAAAUUUAGUAAACAAGUGCAAAUACUUGGUGUUAUUAAAUAGACGAGAAGACCCUAGAAACUUUUAAGUAUAUUUUGCUGGGGCGGCAGAGUUGCAAUUAACCAACUUAUUUAACACGAAGCGGAGAGGUGAGAUUAAGUUACUCUAGGGAUAACAGCAUAAUUA